GAUUGAACGCUGGCGGCAGGCCUAACACAUGCAAGUCGAACGGUAACAGGAAACAGCUUGCUGUUUCGCUGACGAGUGGCGGACGGGUGAGUAAUGUCUGGGAAACUGCCUGAUGGAGGGGGAUAACUACUGGAAACGGUAGCUAAUACCGCAUAACGUCGCAAGACCAAAGAGGGGGACCUUCGGGCCUCUUGCCAUCGGAUGUGCCCAGAUGGGAUUAGCUAGUAGGUGGGGUAACGGCUCACCUAGGCGACGAUCCCUAGCUGGUCUGAGAGGAUGACCAGCCACACUGGAACUGAGACACGGUCCAGACUCCUACGGGAGGCAGCAGUGGGGAAUAUUGCACAAUGGGCGCAAGCCUGAUGCAGCCAUGCCGCGUGUAUGAAGAAGGCCUUCGGGUUGUAAAGUACUUUCAGCGGGGAGGAAGGGAGUAAAGUUAAUACCUUUACUCAUUGACGUUACCCGCAGAAGAAGCACCGGCUAACUCCGUG
This 491-nucleotide ribosomal RNA is filed under the name uncultured bacterium. RNAcentral's name for it is "partial 16S ribosomal RNA". It matches the Rfam family "Bacterial small subunit ribosomal RNA", at positions 27 to 507 of the family's 1533-position model. The record is from RNAcentral.